Molecule: ribosomal RNA, 497 nt
Filed under: uncultured bacterium
Lineage: Bacteria
Description: partial 16S ribosomal RNA
Rfam family: Bacterial small subunit ribosomal RNA
Source: RNAcentral
GAUGAACGCUGGCGGCGUGCCUAAUACAUGCAAGUCGAGCGAACGGACGAGAAGCUUGCUGCUCUGAUGUUAGCGGCGGACGGGUGAGUAACACGUGGAUCACCUACCUAUAAGACUGGGAUAACUUCGGGAAACCGUAGCUAAUACCGGAUAAUAUUUUGAACCGCAUGGUUCAAAAGUGAAAGACGGUCUUGCUGUCACUUAUAGAUGGAUCCGCGCUGCAUUAGCUAGUUGGUAAGGUAACGGCUUACCAAGGCAACGAUGCAUAGCCGACCUGAGAGAGUGAUCGGCCACACUGGAGCUGAGACACGGUCCAGACUCCUACGGGAGGCAGCAGUAGGGAAUCUUCCGCAAUGGGCGAAAGCAUGACGGAGCAACGCCGCGUGAGUGAUGAAGGUCUUCGGAUCGUAAAACUGUGUUAUUAGGGAAGAACAUAUGUGUAAGUAACUGUGCACAUCUUGGCGGUACCUAAUCAGAAAGCCACGGCUAACUACGUG